This 944-nucleotide ribosomal RNA is filed under the name Bacillus aerius. RNAcentral's name for it is "bacterial SSU rRNA". It matches the Rfam family "Bacterial small subunit ribosomal RNA", at positions 56 to 985 of the family's 1533-position model. The record is from RNAcentral. Lineage: Bacteria; Bacillati; Bacillota; Bacilli; Caryophanales; Bacillaceae.
UGCAGUCGAGCGGACAGAAGGGAGCUUGCUCCCGGAUGUUAGCGGCGGACGGGUGAGUAACACGUGGGUAACCUGCCUGUAAGACUGGGAUAACUCCGGGAAACCGGAGCUAAUACCGGAUAGUUCCUUGAACCGCAUGGUUCAAGGAUGAAAGACGGUUUCGGCUGUCACUUACAGAUGGACCCGCGGCGCAUUAGCUAGUUGGUGAGGUAACGGCUCACCAAGGCGACGAUGCGUAGCCGACCUGAGAGGGUGAUCGGCCACACUGGGACUGAGACACGGCCCAGACUCCUACGGGAGGCAGCAGUAGGGAAUCUUCCGCAAUGGACGAAAGUCUGACGGAGCAACGCCGCGUGAGUGAUGAAGGUUUUCGGAUCGUAAAGCUCUGUUGUUAGGGAAGAACAAGUGCAAGAGUAACUGCUUGCACCUUGACGGUACCUAACCAGAAAGCCACGGCUAACUACGUGCCAGCAGCCGCGGUAAUACGUAGGUGGCAAGCGUUGUCCGGAAUUAUUGGGCGUAAAGGGCUCGCAGGCGGUUUCUUAAGUCUGAUGUGAAAGCCCCCGGCUCAACCGGGGAGGGUCAUUGGAAACUGGGAAACUUGAGUGCAGAAGAGGAGAGUGGAAUUCCACGUGUAGCGGUGAAAUGCGUAGAGAUGUGGAGGAACACCAGUGGCGAAGGCGACUCUCUGGUCUGUAACUGACGCUGAGGAGCGAAAGCGUGGGGAGCGAACAGGAUUAGAUACCCUGGUAGUCCACGCCGUAAACGAUGAGUGCUAAGUGUUAGGGGGUUUCCGCCCCUUAGUGCUGCAGCUAACGCAUUAAGCACUCCGCCUGGGGAGUACGGUCGCAAGACUGAAACUCAAAGGAAUUGACGGGGGCCCGCACAAGCGGUGGAGCAUGUGGUUAAUUCGAAGCAACGCGAAGACCUUACCAGGUCUUGAC